This 80-nucleotide transfer RNA is filed under the name Lentinula edodes (shiitake mushroom). RNAcentral describes it as "tRNA-Ile". It matches the Rfam family "tRNA". Rfam says of the family: Transfer RNA (tRNA) molecules are approximately 80 nucleotides in length. Their secondary structure includes four short double-helical elements and three loops (D, anti-codon, and T loops). Further hydrogen bonds mediate the characteristic L-shaped molecular structure. tRNAs have two regions of fundamental functional importance: the anti-codon, which is responsible for specific mRNA codon recognition, and the 3' end, to which the tRNAs corresponding amino acid is attached (by aminoacyl-tRNA synthetases). tRNAs cope with the degeneracy of the genetic code in two manners: having more than one tRNA (with a specific anti-codon) for a particular amino acid; and 'wobble' base-pairing, i.e. permitting non-standard base-pairing at the 3rd anti-codon position. Lineage: Eukaryota; Fungi; Basidiomycota; Agaricomycetes; Agaricales; Omphalotaceae. The record is from RNAcentral.
GGCCGACUAGCUCAGUUGGUUAGAGCGUCGUGCUAAUAUCUGUUACGCGAAGGUCUUGGGUUCGAUCCCCACGUUGGCCA